Molecule: non-coding RNA, 86 nt
Organism: Tulasnella sp. 403
Lineage: Eukaryota; Fungi; Basidiomycota; Agaricomycetes; Cantharellales; Tulasnellaceae
Source: the annotation of a GenBank genome assembly
UCUCUCUUGGUAUAUCGGUAGAACACCACCCUGUCAGGCUUCGGCGAAGUGCGGUGGAGAGCUGGGUUCGACUCCCAGAGGGAGAG